Molecule: ribosomal RNA, 254 nt
Filed under: uncultured bacterium
Lineage: Bacteria
Description: partial 16S ribosomal RNA
Rfam family: Bacterial small subunit ribosomal RNA
Source: RNAcentral
GACGAACCGUACGAACGUUAUUCGGAAUCACUGGGCUUAAAGCGUGCGUAGGCGGCCUGGGAAGUUGGGUGUGAAAUCCAUCGGCUCAACCGAGGAACUGCGCCCAAAACUGCCAGGCUUGAGGGAGACAGAGGUGAGCGGAACUGAUGGUGGAGCGGUGAAAUGCGUUGAUAUCAUCAGGAACACCGGAGGCGAAAGCGGCUCACUGGGUCUUUUUCUGACGCUGAGGCACGAAAGCUAGGGGAGCGAACGGG